CUUCGGAACUGUUUGUGGGAAUUUGAUUCUCAAAUGACAAAACUUCUAUUUGAACAAUUCUGUGGUAUUGUUGACAUAAAUCACAACUCUUCCAGUUGAGUUUUAUUGCAACUUGUCUAUAAUCUAAAAUAGGGGAAAGGGAAUUGGGUGUGAUUAUUUUUGUAUAGAUCAAAAACAAUAUAAUGUUAAUCUUGGAAAUCGGCCACCAACUUCAAUGAACUUAAAUGAAAAGUUGGUUUCAAAACAUUCAUUUCAACUCAAGGACGUAAUUAACCAAUGCACAAUUUUUCAUGAGUUAAAGAAAAAUGUUAAUUGCAUGAUUUCUUCUUCCUAUCAUAAAUACAUAACAAAUAAUUAUGCAAUAUGUCUGAAUAUGUUACUUUACUACUUUGGGGCACUUAUUUGAAAAUGUUUUUUUAUAUACAGAAAUGCAUGAAUUAGAGUAAUAUAUUCAGAAGCUGAAAAGACUAAACAACCCUGGAGCCUAGAAAGGAUUUUAUAACCAGAAUCUACUUAAAUAUAUAUUAACUUUAUAUAGAGGGUCUUUGAUGGUUUCCCUAAAAUAAGUACCAUUGUUUUAAUGUUAAGUAUUUUAUGAUUAAAUUGUUUCUAAAUUUUAAUUUGGAGAAUGUGGUCAAAUUUACAUGAGACUGAAAAAAGAAUUUUAUUUUUGAAUGUUUAAAGCAUUUAACAUUUUCACCAUUAACAUCACAGAAUUUCCCUGGACUAGUACACAUUUUGCCAGUCCAAGGGUGAAUAAUAUACAUUACAGCUUAGCAAGUGUAUGUACCCUACUUUCUUUCUAAUCCUAGAAAAUUUAAAAAUUCAAAUAUAUUCAUAGACAUACAUUUUUAAACAGCUGCUUAUAUGUGAAUGCAGGUAUUAAGUUUAUUUUAACUUAUUUAUCAGUCUUUGAAUACAGUAGUUGCUCUUGCAUGUUUAUGUUUUAUAUCUUUGAUUCCUUUGUUAGUAUUGAAAGAAAUUUAAUUUUAGACUUCAGACUGUCUUCUCUUUUAUUUUAGAUUCUAAUAUUAUAUUGACAUUUUAUCUUAUC
This is a non-coding RNA of Pseudonaja textilis, 1054 nucleotides long. The record is from RefSeq and is a predicted model, not a curated record. Lineage: Eukaryota; Metazoa; Chordata; Lepidosauria; Squamata; Elapidae.